RNAcentral lists this ribosomal RNA (239 nucleotides) under uncultured bacterium. Its description in RNAcentral is "partial 16S ribosomal RNA". It matches the Rfam family "Bacterial small subunit ribosomal RNA", at positions 15 to 235 of the family's 1533-position model. The record is from RNAcentral.
GAUCCUGGCUCAGGACGAACGCUGGCGGCGCGCUUAACACAUGCAAGUCGAGCGAUGAAAUCUUGACAGAUCCCUUCGGGGUGAAGAUAAGAUGGAUUAGCGGCGGACGGGUGAGUAACACGUGAGUAACCUGCCUUAGACAUUGGGAUAGCCUCGGGAAACCGGGAUUAAUACCAAAUGAAAUCAUAGGUGCCCAUGCACUAAUGAUCAAAACUCCGGUGGUCUAAGAUGGACUCGCG